This 959-nucleotide non-coding RNA is filed under the name Cestraeus oxyrhyncus (sharp-nosed river mullet). RNAcentral's name for it is "12S ribosomal RNA". It matches the Rfam family "Bacterial small subunit ribosomal RNA". Lineage: Eukaryota; Metazoa; Chordata; Actinopteri; Mugiliformes; Mugilidae. The record is from RNAcentral.
CAAAGGCUUGGUCCUGACUUUUCUGUCAUCCUUGGCUAAAUUUACACAUGCAAGUAUCCGCCCCCCCGUGAGAAUGCCCUACAGUUCCCCUACUCGGGAACAAGGAGCUGGUAUCAGGCACAUUUUAUGAACUGCCCACGACACCUUGCUUAGCCACGCCCCCAAGGGAAUUCAGCAGUGAUAAACAUUAGGCUAUAAGUGAAAGCUUGACUUAAUUACAGCUACCAGGGCCGGUAAAACUCGUGCCAGCCACCGCGGUUAUACGAGAGGCCCAAGUUGAUAGACAUCGGCGUAAAGAGUGGUUAAGCUACCCCUCUCCCCCAAAAACUAAAGCCAAACACCUUCAAAACUGUUAUACGUACUCGAAGGUAUGAAGUCCAACUACGAAAGUGGCUUUAAAAUAUAUCUGACCCCACGAAAGCUGCGGAACAAACUGGGAUUAGAUACCCCACUAUGCCCGGCCCUAAACUUUGAUAGUCUCCCUACACCCGCUAUCCGCCUGGGGACUACAAGCGCUAGCUUUAAACCCAAAGGACUUGGCGGUGCUUAAGAUCCACCUAGAGGAGCCUGUUCUAGAACCGAUAACCCCCGUUCAACCUCACCCUCCCUUGUUUUUACCGCCUAUAUACCGCCGUCGUCAGCUUACCCUGUGAAGGAUCAAUAGUAAGCAAAAUUGGUAAGACCCAAAACGUCAGGUCGAGGUGUAGCGUAUGGAAGGGAAAGAAAUGGGCUACAUUUCCUAAGCAGGAAAUACGAACAAUGAACUGAAACACGCAUUUAGAAGGAGGAUUUAGCAGUAAAUGAAAAACAGAGCGUUUCAUUGAAACCGGCCCUAAAGCGCGCACACACCGCCCGUCACUCUCCCCGAAACAAACCUUACUAUACUUAAUAACAUUAAAAACACAAGGGGAGGCAAGUCGUAACAUGGUAAGUGUACCGGAAGGUGCACUUGGACAAAC